Molecule: ribosomal RNA, 515 nt
Filed under: uncultured bacterium
Lineage: Bacteria
Description: partial 16S ribosomal RNA
Rfam family: Bacterial small subunit ribosomal RNA
Source: RNAcentral
GAUGAACGCUGGCGGCGUGCCUAAUACAUGCAAGUCGAGCGAAUGGAUUAAGAGCUUGCUCUUAUGAAGUUAGCGGCGGACGGGUGAGUAACACGUGGGUAACCUGCCCAUAAGACUGGGAUAACUCCGGGAAACCGGGGCUAAUACCGGAUAAUAUUUUGAACUGCAUGGUUCAAAAUUGAAAGGCGGCUUCGGCUGUCACUUAUGGAUGGACCCGCGUCGCAUUAGCUAGUUGGUGAGGUAACGGCUCACCAAGGCAACGAUGCGGAGCCGACCUGAGAGGGUGCUCGGCCACACUGGGACUGAGACACGGGCCAGACUCCUACGGGAGGCAGCAGUAGGGAAUCUUCCGCAAUGGACGAAAGUCUGACGGAGCAACGCCGCGUGAGUGAUGAAGGCUCUCGGGUCGUAAAACUCUGUUGUUAGGGAAGAACAAGUGCUAGUUGAAUAAGCUGGCACCUUGACGGUACCUAACCAGAAAGCCACGGCUAACUACGUGCCAGCCGCCGCCGUAA